AGAUUGAUUUCAAAUUGGUUUCUCAAAUACGAGCAGACGAUUUAGAAAGAAGAAUCUCAAGUGUUUUAAUAAAUUUGAUUUUCAUUCAAAGUCAAUCUCAUAAUCAAAUGGAGAAUAAGAUAAUCAAAAUGCCAAGAUAAAAGAUUAAUGCUGUUAUAUA
Molecule: non-coding RNA, 160 nt
Organism: Hydra vulgaris (swiftwater hydra)
Lineage: Eukaryota; Metazoa; Cnidaria; Hydrozoa; Anthoathecata; Hydridae
Source: RefSeq, a predicted model, not a curated record